Paramuricea clavata is the source of this 1857-nucleotide non-coding RNA. The record is from the annotation of a GenBank genome assembly. Lineage: Eukaryota; Metazoa; Cnidaria; Anthozoa; Malacalcyonacea; Plexauridae.
CUGUUUAAUUAAUCACAUUGCAGUAGAGACUGAAUUACAUGAUUAUAAGUAAAUACAUUAAAAAUUAAAUUUACAGAUAAAAUUGAGUUCAAACCGUUCAAUGUUCGUUCUGAAUAGUCAGUUUAAAUCUGUCCACAAAUUAUAAUUGGGUACCUGAAUAUACACGAGUACUACUAAAUCAAUAAUACAUUAAUAAUUAUAUUUAACAGUUAUAAAAUUUUGAAACCGUUCUGUGCUCGUUUGGAGUGACCAGCUUGAUUCGGACCUAAGAUUAUAAUUAUGAGUAGUUGGAUGUAUACGAGUUGCAACAACAUCCUUAAGAGGAUUUAUAGGACCAUUGUCAAGCUUCAAUUUCCGGAUAAAUUGUUGAAAAAAGAAAGCAGAAAGCUCUAGUGUGUGCCGGGCUUAAGUGAAACAAAAAUUAUGAUUGAACAGCGGUUAAUGCUUCGAUGCUUUCAACUAUUCAACUGCAAUCAGGGACAUAGCGAGAGGGGGUGUAGAGGGGGUGUAACCCCCCCCCCCGCCAUAAUAGUUGUUCAUGAGUACUUUCCAGGUGAUUCUUUCUGAUUUUCAGGUUAAUUACAACAGCAUUGACUGGCGCUAAUAACAAAUUUUAGUUGCAUUUCUGGCCUUGAGACCAUAACAUACCUAUACAACCCUGAUCGAACAAACGAUAGGGACUGAUCGAACAAACGAUAAAUUCCUUACAAUGGAAACUACAUACAUUUAGAUUUACAAUGGCAAUUCCUAGAACAGAUAUUCCCCUGAAUAUCUGAAUAAUGCAGAAUAGGGGUGGGUGAGUGGGGACAAGUAGCACCUCCUGCCCUUUCAUAUAAGGAAGCAAUGAAAGGUGGGCAAAAGUGCCGUUUUAAUAUAAGACAAAAAUUUUUGAUACCAAAAUUCUUGGUAUAAAAUUCUUGAUGUAAAAUUCUUGAUACAAAAUUCUUGGUAUAAAAUUCUUGAUACCGCCAGUCAGUGUGCCCAGAAACUGCCAGAAAUGUCAAGGAAGCACCCUCCAGUUCUACCAUUACUUCCACUAUCACUACCAUUAAUUACGGGAUCAUUAACCAAUCACAUGCGUUUAAUCCACUCAAUUAACCAAUCACAUGCGUACAUGCGUAGCGGCAGUGGUAGUGGAAGUCAAAUCUAAACCUCAAUGAUAACUCUCGUCAAGCAAUUCAGCAAGGACAAACUUUCAGUUUUUAGUUUCUCCUCUACAUCGUCAUUAUUUACGAAUUGUUGAAGAACUUCUCUUGUUUUCUUUAAAUCAAACAAACACAGCUCAGGCGAGUUGUACAUACGUUCCUUGGCUUUGAAAAUGUUAGAAGUAUCAGCUUCUUGAGACAGUGAGUUAUUUUCCAUUAUCAGAGCCAAUUGUUGAUAUUGUUCUUGGAAAUUUGUAUUUUCUGCGAACUGUAUUUUUAGGAAGUGAAGUCUUGCGUAAGAAAUCCAGCAAAGAAAUUUAAAGAAUAUUGGGAAAUUGAUUCCACUGUUUGCUUCUAGUAUGAUCUGCAAAAGACACAAUCCCGGUUUAUAAUAAAAUAUAGCGAAUUAAACGUUAGCAACCAACCCAGUAACAAACAAACAAACAAACAAACAAACAAACAAACAAACAAACAAACAAACAAACAAACAAACAAACAAGCAAGCAAGCAAGCAAGCAAGCAAGCAAGCAAGCAAGCAAGCAAGCAAGCAAACAAACAAACAAACAAACAAGCAAGCAAGCAAGCAAACAAACAAACAAACAAACAAACAAACAAACAAACAAACAAACAAACAAACAAACAAACAAACAAACAAACAAACAAACAAACAAACAAACAAACAAACAAACAAACAAACAAACAAACAAAUAAA